CCCGACACGGGGAGGUAGUGACAAUAAAUAACAAUAUAGGGCUCUUUCGGGUCUUAUAAUUGGAAUGAGUACAAUUUAAAUCCCUUAACGAGGAACAAUUGGAGGGCAAGUCUGGUGCCAGCAGCCGCGGUAAUUCCAGCUCCAAUAGCGUAUAUUAAAGUUGUUGCAGUUAAAAAGCUCGUAGUUGAACUUCAGGCCUGGUGGGGCGGUCCGCUUAACGGCGUGUACUGUCCGACUGGGUCUUACCUCUUGGUGAGCCGGCGUGCCCUUAACUGGGCUGCGUCGGGGAACCAGGACUUUUACCUUGAGAAAAUUAGAGUGUUCAAAGCAGGCCUAUGCCUGAAUACAUUAGCAUGGAAUAAUAAAAUAGGACGUGCGGUUCUAUUUUGUUGGUUUCUAGAGUCGCCGUAAUGAUUAAUAGGGAUAGUUGGGGGCAUUGGUAUUGAGUCGCUAGAGGUGAAAUUCUUGGAUUGACUCAAGACCAACUACUGCGAAAGCAUUUGCCAAGGAUGUUUUCAUUAAUCAAGAACGAAGGUUAGGGGAUCGAAAACGAUCAGAUACCGUUGUAGUCUUAACAGUAAACUAUGCCGACUAGGGAUCGGG
Molecule: ribosomal RNA, 603 nt
Filed under: uncultured fungus
Lineage: Eukaryota; Fungi
Description: SSU rRNA
Rfam family: Eukaryotic small subunit ribosomal RNA
Source: RNAcentral